Molecule: ribosomal RNA, 468 nt
Filed under: uncultured bacterium
Lineage: Bacteria
Description: partial 16S ribosomal RNA
Rfam family: Bacterial small subunit ribosomal RNA
Source: RNAcentral
GACGAACGCUGGCGGCGUGCUUAACACAUGCAAGUCGAACGGAAAGGCCCUGCUUUUGUGGGCUGCUCGAGUGGCGAACGGGUGAGUAACACGUGAGUAACCUGCCCUUGAUUUUGGGAUAACUUCAGGAAACUGGGCCUAAUCUCGGAUAGCAGCUCCUGCUGCAUGGUGGGGGUGGGAAAGUUUAGGCGGUUGGGGAUGGACUCGCGGCUUAUCAGCUUGUUGGUGGGGUAGUGGCUUACCAAGGCUUUGACGGGUAGCCGGCCUGAGAGGGUGACCGGCCACAUUGGGACUGAGGUACGGCCCAGACUCCUACGGGAGGCAGCAGUGGGGAAUAUUGAACAAUGGGCGGAAGCCUGAUGCGGAAACGCCGCGUGCGGGAUGACGGCCUUCGGGUUGUAAACCGCUUUAGCCUGUGACGAAGCGGGAGUGACGGUAAUGGGUAAAGAAGCACCGGCUAACUACGUG